Molecule: unclassified non-coding RNA, 329 nt
Filed under: plant metagenome
Description: partial contains 5.8S ribosomal RNA, internal transcribed spacer 2, and large subunit ribosomal RNA
Rfam family: 5.8S ribosomal RNA (bases 1-105)
Source: RNAcentral
GAAAUGCGAUAAGUAAUGUGAAUUGCAGAAUUCCGUGAAUCAUCGAAUCUUUGAACGCACAUUGCGCCCUCUGGUAUUCCGGGGGGCAUGCCUGUCCGAGCGUCAUUGCGAACCCCUCAAGCACGGCUUGUGUGAUGGGCCCUCCCGCGUCUUGGUCGUCAAGACGGGCCCGAAAAGCAGUGGCGGCUUCGCGGUUAUCCGAUCAGCCAGAGCGUAUGGGGACUUUCUCUCUGUCACACGCCCGCGGCGCGGACCGACGCCUGUCGACCAUUAUUCAUCUUUUUCUCGGUUGACCUCGCAUCAGGUAGGGAUACCCGCUGAACUUAAGC